UAGGGAAUCUUCCACAAUGGGCGCAAGCCUGAUGGAGCAACACCGCGUGAGUGAAGAAGGGUUUCGGCUCGUAAAGCCCUGUUGUUAAAGAAGAACACGUAUGAGAGUAACUGUUCAUACGUUGACGGUAUUUAACCAGAAAGUCACGGCUAACUACGUGCCAC
Molecule: ribosomal RNA, 164 nt
Filed under: uncultured bacterium
Lineage: Bacteria
Description: partial 16S rRNA
Rfam family: Bacterial small subunit ribosomal RNA
Source: RNAcentral